UGUGACGUUACCUAAACCGUUGCUUCGGCGGGCGGCCCGGGUCCUUCCCGGCGCCCCUCGGCCCUCGCGGGCGCCCGCCGGAGGAAAACCAAACUAUUGCAUUGUAUGGCCUCUCUGAGUCUUCUGUACUGAAUAAGUCAAAACUUUCAACAACGGAUCUCUUGGUUCUGGCAUCGAUGAAGAACGCAGCGAAAUGCGAUAAGUAAUGUGAAUUGCAGAAUUCAGUGAAUCAUCGAAUCUUUGAACGCACAUUGCGCCCGCCAGUAUUCUGGCGGGCAUGCCUGUUCGAGCGUCAUUUCAACCAUCAAGCCCCGGGCUUGUGUUGGGGACCUGCGGCUGCCGCAGGCCCUGAAAUGCAGUGGCGGGCUCGCUGUCACUCCGAGCGUAGUAGUUACAUCUCGCUCUGGGCGUGCUGCGGGUUCCGGCCGUUAAAAGCCUUAUUUACCCAAGGUUGACCUCGGAUCAGGUAGGAAGACCCGCUGAACUUAAGCAUAUCAAUAAGC
Molecule: ribosomal RNA, 503 nt
Filed under: Humicola fuscoatra
Lineage: Eukaryota; Fungi; Ascomycota; Sordariomycetes; Sordariales; Chaetomiaceae
Description: eukaryotic LSU rRNA
Rfam family: 5.8S ribosomal RNA (bases 142-295)
Source: RNAcentral